AGUAGAGGCGAAGUGGAACAUUUGUUCGGGGGAUGUUUCUUCCGGGUUGGGUUUGGGCGGACUUCCUGUUUGCCUCAGACGCAAUCUGGGUCCUAAAGACAGGGCAGUGGUCACCAUUGCUGAAUCCUGUUUUACUGUUCUCCUGGUGAAGGAUGGUACUGAGCUGAAGUCAAUACUUGUGAGAAAAGGAAACAAGGUUUAUGACAAAAAGGGGAGAAGUGACUCAUAGAACUUGUCAUUCCUGACUUUGCCUAGCAUGGAAGAUAAGAUGGUGGUCAAAACAAAGGCUGUGAUCCUCCAGGAGGAGGAAUGUCGGCUGGAGUCCAUGUGGAAGGCAAGAUCGACAAUAGAGGCUGGUGAAGAAAUCUAAGACGGCAGGAAGUGAGAAGAAGGUGCCAGGUGAGGCUGAGGAGGAGCACUCUGAGCUGCUGAUGAAUGAAGAAAAUGAGUGCGAUAGAAGGAGGCUGAAGGAAGAAACCCCUACUUGUCAAAAUGAGGAGAAAAAUGUAAAAAAAAACGAAGCAGAUGAAGAUGUGAGAGGAAAGAAAGAAGAGGUGAGGUGAAGGUGUUAGGUUUUCACAAAGUUUCUUCUGACAUUAUUAUAUAUUUAAUGUUUUGAUCUUCCACAAUAGUCUGUUCACCAACAUGCCGUUAAAAAAGUCACUUUUCACUGUGAUGGAUUCAAGCUUUUAGUUUCUGCAGCAGAUUUUUCCAACAACCUCAAACAUUACUGGUAUCAAAGCCUUGAAAAUGUUUAAACACACCUUGAAUUUUUUCACUUUUUAUCUCAGAGAGGAUUCAGUAAGGUAUCAUGUAAAACAUUGUAAGUACACUGACGUUUGUGUUUGUAAUGAGUAAGAUUUUUUUUUACUUCCAAUACCGAUAUCUAAGAUUAAGUAUCAACUGGUACCGAUUCAAUAAAAAAAAAGUGUUGAA
Xiphophorus couchianus (Monterrey platyfish) is the source of this 936-nucleotide long non-coding RNA. RefSeq lists it as uncharacterized. Lineage: Eukaryota; Metazoa; Chordata; Actinopteri; Cyprinodontiformes; Poeciliidae. The transcript has 5 exons. The record is from RefSeq and is a predicted model, not a curated record.